CAGACAGAAGCCCGCUGGAUUGGGUGUUUAGCUGUUAAUUAAUUUUUUGUGGGAUCAAGGCCCGCCUGUCUAG
This 73-nucleotide transfer RNA is filed under the name Sceloporus jarrovii (Yarrow's spiny lizard). RNAcentral's name for it is "tRNA-Asx". The record is from RNAcentral. Lineage: Eukaryota; Metazoa; Chordata; Lepidosauria; Squamata; Phrynosomatidae.